Molecule: ribosomal RNA, 498 nt
Filed under: uncultured bacterium
Lineage: Bacteria
Description: partial 16S ribosomal RNA
Rfam family: Bacterial small subunit ribosomal RNA
Source: RNAcentral
AUUGAACGCUGGCGGCAUGCCUUACACAUGCAAGUCGAACGGUAACAGGUCUUCGGAUGCUGACGAGUGGCGAACGGGUGAGUAAUACAUCGGAACGUGCCUAGUCGUGGGGGAUAACUACUCGAAAGAGUGGCUAAUACCGCCUGAGAUCUACGGAUGAAAGCAGGGGAUCGCAAGACCUUGUGCUACUAGAGCGGCCGAUGGCAGAUUAGGUAGUUGGUGGGAUAAAAGCUUACCAAGCCGACGAUCUGUAGCUGGUCUGAGAGGACGAUCAGCCACACUGGGACUGAGACACGGCCCAGACUCCUACGGGAGGCAGCAGUGGGGAAUUUUGGACAAUGGGCGCAAGCCUGAUCCAGCAAUGCCGCGUGCAGGAUGAAGGCCUUCGGGUUGUAAACUGCUUUUGUACGGAACGAAAAGCCCUGGGUUAAUACCCUGGGGUCAUGACGGUACCGUAAGAAUAAGCACCGGCUAACUACGUGCCAGCCGCCGCAGUAA